RNAcentral lists this long non-coding RNA (487 nucleotides) under Dasypus novemcinctus (nine-banded armadillo). RNAcentral's name for it is "lncRNA (ENSDNOG00000052819.1)". The record is from RNAcentral. Lineage: Eukaryota; Metazoa; Chordata; Mammalia; Cingulata; Dasypodidae.
AUACUGGACCACUGGCAUUGCUUCUAUUUUGGUGAAGAUUUCCAAUAGCCUGGCAUAUGGAUGGGUGCAUUCAUAAAAAAAGCAAAAUAAACUCCCUGGUGGAUGGCUUUCAACUUGUCUUCGCAGAUGGAAUUCAAGAGGCCAAGAUUAAAUAUUUGCAGUGGUUAAGGUUUCCCAACUUUUGCAAGUGUUGGAGAUGGAGAUGUAUAUUCAUGAUAAAACAACAAAACUUCAGUACAAAAUGCUGCAACCAUCUCAACAACAAGAGGCUGAAUAUACAUGUAAAGAAGAAUGAAAGCAGGCAAGCAAAAGGGAGACAACUUCUCAAGCAUCAAUUUCUUCACUUCCUUUUAAGGGAUGUAGACAUAUUUGGGACAACUGCUUCCAGCAUUAAACACAUCCAGUGAAUCCAAAGUUUUCAUUCUUUUCUUUGUAAUUUUAUCAUUUCAGCUGGCUUGUCUAGCUCUAGUUUGCGCUAACUUUGCUG